Molecule: ribosomal RNA, 774 nt
Filed under: uncultured Neocallimastigales
Lineage: Eukaryota; Fungi; Neocallimastigomycota; Neocallimastigomycetes; Neocallimastigales
Description: partial large subunit ribosomal RNA
Rfam family: Eukaryotic large subunit ribosomal RNA
Source: RNAcentral
UACUAGAGUAGCACUCGCAUAUCAAUAAGCGGAGGAAAAGAAACUAACAAGGAUUCCCCUAGUAACGGCGAGUGAAGCGGGAAGAGCUCAAAUUUGAAAUCUUAAAGGGUUUCCCUUUACGAAUUGUAGUUUAAAGAAGUGUUUUCUGUUGAGGUUUUGGUAAAAGUUCUUUGGAAUAGGACAUCAUAGAGGGUGAGAAUCCCGUAUUUGACCUUUACUUUCAACUUUGUGAUACACUUUCAAAGAGUCGGAUUGUUUGGGAAUGCAGUCCAAAAUGGGUGGUAAAUUUCAUCUAAAGCUAAAUAUUGGCGAGAGACCGAUAGCGAACAAGUACCGUGAGGGAAAGAUGAAAAGAACUUUGAAAAGAGAGUUAAACAGUACGUGAAAUUGUCAAAAGGGAAGCGUUUGACACCAGUGUUGUUUUUCUGAAAAUCAAUUAAAGAACUGUUUAUGCUAAGCUGUUUAGACUUUAUCAGCUAUCUGUUUAGUUUUGAGCUUUUCUUUAAUGCACUUUUCAGUUAACAAGUCAACAUCAAUUUCUUUUGCUGUAAAAAAGCUUGAGGAAGGUGGCUUGAGAUUCGUCUUAAGUGUUUAUAGCCUCUUGCCUAUGCAGUCGGAGAGAUUGAGGUCUGCAGCGUAGAUCCUUCGGGGCUAAAUGCAUUUGUGCUAAGUUAUAGCAUUUUAUAGACAACUUGUUGACUAUGAUUUGUCUUGUAGCUUACUCGCUUAUGUUAUUUUACCUACGCUUAGGAUGUUGAGUCAUCACACAUCUCU